This 286-nucleotide ribosomal RNA is filed under the name uncultured bacterium. RNAcentral describes it as "partial 16S ribosomal RNA". It matches the Rfam family "Bacterial small subunit ribosomal RNA", at positions 773 to 1060 of the family's 1533-position model. The record is from RNAcentral.
GUGGAUUAGAUACCUUGGUAGUCCACACCGUAAACGUUGGGCGCUAGGUGUGGGAUCCAUUCCACGGGUUCCGUGCCGCAGCUAACGCAUUAAGCGCCCCGCCUGGGGAGUACGGCCGCAAGGCUAAAACUCAAAGGAAUUGACGGGGGCCCGCACAAGCGGCGGAGCAUGCGGAUUAAUUCGAUGCAACGCGAAGAACCUUACCUGGGUUUGACAUACGCCGGAAAGCGCCAGAGAUGGUGCCCCUUUUAGUCGGUGUACAGGUGGUGCAUGGUCGUCGACAGCU